AUUGCAUCAGCUUGUUAUUUCUUCUUAAUUUUGUUUCAUACAUAUUAUUUAUUUAUUUAUUUCACUUUUAAUUUUGAACUUCAUAUCUCUCUUCUUACUGUUUAUAUGAGUUUUAUGUAUAUAACUUUCAGUUUUUUUUUUAAUUUAAAAUUUAUAUGUACUUUUUUUUAUGUAUAUAUACUGUAUUGUUUUACUAUAUGUAUGUAUAUUUACUUUUGUUUUCU
Molecule: long non-coding RNA, 224 nt
Filed under: Lathyrus oleraceus (garden pea)
Lineage: Eukaryota; Viridiplantae; Streptophyta; Magnoliopsida; Fabales; Fabaceae
Description: Pisum sativum (pea) long non-coding RNA (PSAT_LNC014387)
Source: RNAcentral